This 358-nucleotide unclassified non-coding RNA is filed under the name soil metagenome. RNAcentral's name for it is "partial contains 5.8S ribosomal RNA, internal transcribed spacer 2, and large subunit ribosomal RNA". The stretch from base 1 to 120 matches the Rfam family "5.8S ribosomal RNA", at positions 35 to 154 of the family's 154-position model. The record is from RNAcentral.
GAUGAAGAACGCAGCGAAAUGCGAUAAGUAAUGUGAAUUGCAGAAUUCAGUGAAUCAUCGAAUCUUUGAACGCACAUUGCGCCCGUCAGUAUUCUGGCGGGCAUGCCUGUUCGAGCGUCAUUACGCCCCUCAAGUCCCCUGUGGACUUGGUGUUGGGGAUCGGCGAGGCUGGUUUUCCAGCACAGCCGUCCCUUAAAUUAAUUGGCGGUCUCGCCGUGGCCCUCCUCUGCGCAGUAGUAAAACACUCGCAACAGGAGCCCGGCGCGGUCCACUGCCGUAAAACCCCCCAACUUUUUAUAUUUGACCUCGAAUCAGGUAGGACUACCCGCUGAACUUAAGCAUAUCAAUAAGCGGAGGA